Schistosoma margrebowiei is the source of this 46-nucleotide non-coding RNA. The record is from Rfam. Lineage: Eukaryota; Metazoa; Platyhelminthes; Trematoda; Strigeidida; Schistosomatidae.
GCACUGCUGAGGAGUCCCACAAUAGGACGAAACGGCCGCCCAGUGU